CAGCAGCCGCGGUAAUACGUAGGUGGCGAGCGUUGUCCGGAUUUAUUGGGCGUAAAGGGAGUGUAGGCGGUCUUUUAAGUCUGAUGUGAAAGCCCACGGCUCAACCGGGGAGGGUCAUUGGAAACUGGGAAACUUGAGUGCAGAAGAGGAGAGUGGAAUUCCACGUGUAGCGGUGAAAUGCGUAGAGAUGUGGAGGAACACCAGUGGCGAAGGCGACUCUCUGGUCUGUGACUGACGCUGAGGAGCGAAAGCGUGGGGAGCGAACAGGAUUAGAUACCCCAGUAGUCCCUGUCUCUUAUAA
RNAcentral lists this ribosomal RNA (301 nucleotides) under uncultured bacterium. RNAcentral describes it as "partial 16S ribosomal RNA". It matches the Rfam family "Bacterial small subunit ribosomal RNA", at positions 509 to 809 of the family's 1533-position model. The record is from RNAcentral.